UGGGGAAUUUUGGACAAUGGGCGCAAGCCUGAUCCAGCAAUGCCGCGUGUGUGAAGAAGGCCUUCGGGUUGUAAAGCACUUUUGUCCGGAAAGAAAACCUCGUGGUUAAUACCCGUGGGGGAUGACGGUACCGGAAGAAUAAGCACCGGCUAACUACGUGCCAGCAGCCGCGGUAAUACGUAGGGUGCAAGCGUUAAUCGGAAUUACUGGGCGUAAAGCGUGCGCAGGCGGUUCGCUAAGACAGAUGUGAAAUCCCCGGGCUUAACCUGGGGACUGCAUUUGUGACUGGCGGGCUAGCGUAUGGCAGAGGGGGGGAGAAUUCCACGUGUAGCAGUGAAAUGCGUAGAGGUGUGGAGGAAUACCGAUGGCGAAGGCAGCACCCUGGGCCAAUACUGAAGCUCAUGCACGAAAGCGUGGGGAGCAAACAGG
This 429-nucleotide ribosomal RNA is filed under the name Bacillota bacterium. Its description in RNAcentral is "Firmicutes bacterium partial 16S ribosomal RNA". It matches the Rfam family "Bacterial small subunit ribosomal RNA", at positions 355 to 776 of the family's 1533-position model. Lineage: Bacteria; Bacillati; Bacillota. The record is from RNAcentral.